This 252-nucleotide ribosomal RNA is filed under the name uncultured bacterium. RNAcentral describes it as "partial 16S ribosomal RNA". It matches the Rfam family "Bacterial small subunit ribosomal RNA", at positions 524 to 776 of the family's 1533-position model. The record is from RNAcentral.
UACGUAGGGAGCGAGCGUUAUCCGGAUUUAUUGGGCGUAAAGCGUUCGUAGGCGAUUUGCUAAGUAUGGAAUUAAAGCCCGAGGCUCAACCUCGGUUCGUUUCAUAAACUGGCAGGAUUGAGUAUGGUAGAGGUAAGUGGAAUUUCUAGUGUAGCGGUGGAAUGCGUAGAUAUUAGAAGGAACACCAGUGGCGAAGGCGACUUACUGGGCCAUUACUGACGCUGAGGAACGAAAGCGUGGGGAGCAAAUAGG